AUUAUAAUAAUUAUAUUAUUUGCAUUAUAAUAAACUUAAUAAUAUUUAAUUGAGUCUCUAUGUUAAAUUAAUUCUGUUUUUGGACCUUCCGUCCUUGUGAAAUCAUUUAUAUCUAUUGUUUAUAAUUUUAUUAAGUGGUAAAAAAAUCUGUAAUAUCAAAUUUUUACAUUACGUGUUGUUGAGAGUGUUGCGAAUCGGUGAAAUUACUGCUCAGACUGUACAACCUAACCUAACCUAACCUCCGACUAUGGCGAGAGUCAAAGCCCUCCCAAAGAGGACCCUCCCCCUUU
Non-coding RNA from Cinara cedri, 290 nucleotides. The record is from the annotation of a GenBank genome assembly. Lineage: Eukaryota; Metazoa; Arthropoda; Insecta; Hemiptera; Aphididae.